UUUGAUUUAUAAUGUAGCCAUAAAUCGUCUUAUAAACGAACAACGCUUGCAAAUUAUUGAAUUUUAUUAUCAAAAUGCGUGCUCAAUUAAGAAAGUUCAUCACCCGUUCAUUGUGUUCAGCGACGAAGCUCAUUUUUGGAUUAAUAGGUACGUAAAUAAGCAGAAUUGUCGAUUUUGGAAUGAAGAUCAACCAGAAGAAUUGCAAGAGCUACCAAUGCAUCCAGAAAAGUCACAGUUUGGUGUGGUUCAUGGGCUGGAGGCGUCAUUGGACCGUACUUCUUCAAAGACGAUGCGAGUCGUAACGUAACUGUUAAUGGUAAGCGCUAUUGUGAGAUGAUAUCCAACUUUUUUAUGCCUGAAAUGACUUGCAUGAUAUGUGGUUUCAACAAGACGGUGUCACAUGCCACACAGCACGCGAAACAAUGGACUUAUUGAGAGGCGAUUUCGGUGAACGUUUUAUUUCACGUACGGGACCGGUCAUUUGCUGUUGAAAAAAGAGAAUGAACAACCUAAUAUACUACUUAACAUUAAAUAAUUUAAACAGAAAAUAGUUUGUUUGCUUUUGUAAAUUUGUCAUAUUGUACAAAAAAAAAUUUUAUUCGUUGUAAAACUCUUAAUAUAAUAACAAUUAGCCGCCUAGAUCGUGUGAUUUUACGUCUAUAGACUAUUUUUUUUUUUUUUUUUUGGCUAUGUUAAAGCUUAUGUCUAUACAGACAAGCCCGCUUCAAUUGCCACAUUGGAAGAAAACAUUAAAGCAUUUAUUUGUUCACGAAAUGUUGAAAGGUAUGCCAAAGUUGGACUAAGCGGAUGGACCAUUUGAGGUUGCAGUCACGGUCAACGUUUGCAUGAAAUAAUCUUCAAACAUUAAAUUAUAUGAACCAUACUAUCGAUUCAAAACAAGAUUUCAGAGAGGUUUCACUCUACACCGGCCGAAGUAAUAAGGUGUUUGUAGAGUGAUCGACCUGGGAAGCCUUGCGACGAGUUACUGGAAAAUGCUGUUCAUAAGUAAAAUCAUUCAAUCCACUCCUCUGCUGGCAGAAAACCAAUCGAAUUUUUUUGGGAGACCUACUACUUUUUGACCCGACGAUUACGAACGAACAUCGUCUUUCAAUUAUGAGAAACGCAAGAGGCCAAAAGCAAAUCCAAUACCAACCCGGAGAGAAAAUUUUUGUAAAUGUCAACAAGCGAUUAGGGACAAAGUUGUCGAAACGGUAAAAGGAAGAAAUCGUUAAGGAGGAUAGGCACUCUACGGUUUUGACAGUAUCGGGAAGAGGCUUUUUGCGAUCUGCAGCGGUUUUUCCGAAAUUCUCGGAAGUGGUUAUUAUUGAGAAGGGAGUCGGGAAGAACAAAACGGGUUCUUUAAAAAUAUUACAUCAAAUCAAGACGAGGUUGAAAAUGGAAAUGGCUUGCCGGAAAUCCGGACCAUGGCAACUUCAAAAACCAAAUAUUUAUCAAUAGAAAAUUUAUUGAACAGAUUAACAACGUAACUAUCGCAAAUAACCAAAAAAUUUUAAAAUCCCUAUAAAUUUUGAAAAAAAAUUAUAAAAUAAACAUAAUCAAAGAGAAAAUUAAAAAUCUCAAUAUAAAUACGUAUAUAUAUACGCUAUACAUUGUCGAAAUCAAGUAUUGUUAAUAUGUUUAUCUUAUCGGACGAAAAAAUCAUCAAAAUAGAGAAAGUAUUUUUGUACGAUAAUAAUUCGUUUGCAUAUCCUGAAGAGGCCAUUAACUUUGCAGAAACCAAAAUAUCUUGCAAUGACAAAUUAAUAAGUUAUGUUAUUGAAAUCCCUAAAACUCUGGAAAAUUAUUGUAAAAAAUUGAUCUUAAUCCCUACCAAAAGAAACAAUACCAUAUUAAAAUCAAAUUUUGAAAAAAAAGUUCUUGACUGCAAAGACAUCUUUGGAAUAGAAAAAAGUUGCAACUGAUAAAUGGGGUCACUCUGUACAUAAUUAAAGACAUAACAAAUUUAACAAGUAAUUAUAGUAUCUCAAACUACACAGCAAAUAUGGCUCAUAAUUGUUCUUUAAACAAAACUGUACGCAUUAAAGAAAUUGAGUCAGGCCUUGUAUUGCUGAAUAAUUUUAAAGGAUGUAUUUUUGUAAACGAAUUUGAACAUAAAUAAAUGGCAGUUAUUUGAUAAGAUUUCAUAAUGCCUGAGUAAAAAUAAAUGAUUUAAUGUGUGAGUCAAGAGAAAUUACACACUCAAAGUCUUUGCAAGCCUUGCAACAACACGUUUCAGCGGGAAAUAAUAUGGAAGAAAUUCUGUCCUAAGAACUCUUAAAAUCAUUACAUGUGAAGAACAAUCAGCGAAUAGAGCGAUUAAACUUUAAAUUAAACUUUGUUAAUUAAGCGAGACGCUUGAGAUUGGAGUAUACUUUUACCAUACCCAGAAAAUGUCACUUGCCAAAUUUUAGACAAAUUGGAACAAAAAUUUGGGUAUCGAAGCAAAAAUUUCAAAAGUUUUGGGUACGUUAGUAUGGGACCUUCACCUAAAGUUGGACCCAUAUAGACCAUAUUCCCAUUAUAUAGGCUUAAGAUGUUUAAUUUAGAUAUCGAUCUAUAUGGUAGCUACAUCUAAAUAUAGACUGAGGAACUGAAGAUUUCAAAUCUGGAGUCCAAUCUUUACGGGAGCAAUGAAAAGAUAUAAUAUUAUACAGCCCAUACACGAACAUAGUCGGUUAAUGGAUAAAAAAUACAAUUGUGCCAAAGUUCAGCUUCCAUAACCAUAAAACUAUUAAGAUGAAUCAUACACUUACUUAAAAGGACGAGAUCCAAAAAAUUUUGCUUGGAUAUGGCACGAAUUAUUAUUAUCUGAAUACCUCUGCCGAAGUUCGUCAAAUUGAUUCAACCAUGCAAUAAUACUACCAAAUGUUGCCUUUCGUAGAAGUAACUAUUCAGUUUAAAAAAUAUAUUUAACACAAAAAGAAAAUAAACAAAAGACAAAUGAAUCGUAGCACUUUAGAAUAAAGCACCCAUCUCAGAAAAAUCGGAAACAAUUCUUACCUAGCAGCAACAAAAGCAAAGCAAAACUUGUAUCUUUGUGCAGCUUUAUUAUUGAUUUUUCGAUUAUUUGAAAAUCGACUUCGACUUUUUUACACAAGAAGUCGUUUAAUCGAUUAAUCUAAAGUCGACUACCCAGGAUGCAUAAGAAAAAUCAUGACAAGAUAGAACGAAUUUUGUGAGGAUGAACUCCUGGCGGAUUCAGAAGACGAGGGUAACCGGUUUGUGCAGAUAAAUCUACACCAUUGAAAGGUCGCUUCGGCAGCACUAAAGAUCCUUCUGAUGGCGGAAGGAUUUGACGUUGUUCUUAUUCAGGAACCAUUGGUUUCUGGAAGGAGGGUUCGUGGACUAUGUAUUCUUAAAUUUUGAGCACUGUUAAAUUGAUACGUGCGUUUGUUAUUGAGCUGCGAAUACAUUUGAUAUUUUUGGAAAAAGAGCACAACAGAAAGUAAAAGAAGUACAAGUUGUUUGGUGGAGUGUAAACUGCUGCAGGAUAGUGAGAAUGACAGUGAAGGUUUCAAGAAAUGCAAAUUAUUCACAGUAUAUAAAUUUUAAAAACUUAAAAUCUCGCAAACAAAAUAUACACAACAAAAUGUUUGGUGUUAAACGGUAAGCGAUAUAGAUAAAUACACAACUACAGAACGACAAAACACAGCUGAUGUAGAUGUCAUAUAGAGAAAAGGACGUUUCAUCCAAGGGCUGUGUGAAGUUACCAGUGGUAACUCGCAAGAUGGCAGUAAUACAGGGUGACACUAAUACAAAAAAUUCAGAAUGUACGGAAAUUAUAAAUAGUUUUUAGCUACUGUCGCCAGAAUAUUAAGCUGUGAAUAAACUAUUGGGUUGCCCAAAAAGUAAUUGCGGAUUUUUUAAAAGAAAGUAAAUGCAUUUUUAAUAUUACUUAGAAUGAACUUUAAUCAAAUAUUCUUUUUUACACUUUUUUUCUAAAGCAAGCUAAAAGUAACAGCUGAUAACUGACAGAAGAAAGAAUGCAAUUACACAGUCACAAGCUGUGAAAAAAUUUGUCAACGCCGACUAUAUGAAAAAAAAAAUAAAAAGUGUGUGGGCCGAAAAAGAAACUACUAAACUAGAACGUCUAACUUUAAAGAGGAAGCACCACACCUACCUGCAUGAAGCCUUAUCGUCUGGUGUUCUGGCGAGGAUUAUGCCCUCCCUUUGGAGUCGGAGCUCCACUAUAGCAACGCUAACUUCUGUUGCCCCGUACCUCUUCCACUUAGCCCUUUUCUACCCCAUUCUAGCCAAAGAUCUACAUGAUCUCACUAAAAGACAGCAGGACGUUAUAAACCUAUAAAAAGCAGUUUGUUGUGUUCUAUCUUGCGUCAAGACCCAGGAACUCUACGACUAAGUUGGGGUGCAUCCACAGGGAUCUGGGUCUGAGUCUAGUGGGUCUGGCUGGGCAGUUAAACAUAUGACGUGUAUCGUGCGGUCCCUGGUUACAAUCGGGACAUACAUCUUGCACGUCGGCAUCAAUACUUGCUCUGUAGGAGUUGAGGUGGCUGCAUCUGUCGGAACGUAAUUGAGCCUGAACUACUCUGAUUUGCCGUGGCUCCUUCCGCUGAUUAUGCUUAGUUCUGCCUCCAAUGACAGCUUACUCUGUCUGUCCGUCUAAGUCCGUCCGCAUGUUGUAAUGGUAAGGCCGUUAAAUGCGCCUAAAGGAGGGCAUUUGUUAUCUUCUUGGUCGAAAAUCCAUAUGGAAUUAACUGCGGAAAAGUUAAUAAUUCAGUUUGUUCUUCUUUUUGGUUUAGGAUAAGUUCGUAAUUUGGUUCUCAAUAACUGUUUUUAAUUCAGUUCACUUUUUUCCACUUUUUAGGAUUAGCUUUUAAGGUAGUUUUUAAGGAUAGUUUUUAAUGUAGUGUUUAAGGAUAGUUUUU
Molecule: long non-coding RNA, 4886 nt
Organism: Stomoxys calcitrans (stable fly)
Lineage: Eukaryota; Metazoa; Arthropoda; Insecta; Diptera; Muscidae
Exons: 6
Source: RefSeq, a predicted model, not a curated record